GUGAGGAAUAUUCGACAAUGGGCGCAAGCCUGAUCCAGCCAUGCCGCGUGCAGGAAGACGCAUCUAUGGUGUGUAAACUGCUUUUGUACGGGAAGAAACACUCCCUCGUGAGGGAGCUUGACGGUACCGUAAGAAUAAGGAUCGGCUAACUCCGUGCCAGCAGCCGCGGUAAUACGGAGGAUCCAAGCGUUAUCCGGAAUCAUUGGGUUUAAAGGGUCCGUAGGCGGUUUAAUAAGUCAGUGGUGAAAGCCCAUCGCUCAACGAUGGAACGGCCAUUGAUACUGUUAGACUUGAAUUACAAGGAAGUAACUAGAAUAUGUAGUGUAGUGGUGAAAUGCUUAGAUAUUGGGAGGAACACCAGUGGCGAAGGCGGCCUGCUGGACAUUAACUGACGCUGAGGCGCGAAAGCGUGGGGAGCAAACAGGAUUAGAAACCCGGGUAGUCC
Molecule: ribosomal RNA, 445 nt
Filed under: uncultured bacterium
Lineage: Bacteria
Description: partial 16S ribosomal RNA
Rfam family: Bacterial small subunit ribosomal RNA
Source: RNAcentral